This 75-nucleotide transfer RNA is filed under the name Anaerolineae bacterium. Its description in RNAcentral is "tRNA-Arg". It matches the Rfam family "tRNA". Rfam says of the family: Transfer RNA (tRNA) molecules are approximately 80 nucleotides in length. Their secondary structure includes four short double-helical elements and three loops (D, anti-codon, and T loops). Lineage: Bacteria; Bacillati; Chloroflexota; Anaerolineae. The record is from RNAcentral.
GCCCCCGUAGCUCAGUGGAUAGAGCGCUGGCCUCCGGAGCCAGAAGCACAGGUUCGAGUCCUGUCGGGGGUACCA